RNAcentral lists this long non-coding RNA (2615 nucleotides) under Sus scrofa (pig). Its description in RNAcentral is "lncRNA (ENSSSCG00065067432.1)". Lineage: Eukaryota; Metazoa; Chordata; Mammalia; Artiodactyla; Suidae. The record is from RNAcentral.
GCCAUUUCUUGGGCUGCUCCCGCAGCAUAUGGAGGUUCCCAGGCUAGGGGUCUAAUUGGAGCUGUAGCCACCGGCCUACGCCAGAGCCACAGUAACACCAGAUCCAAGUCGCGUCUGUGACCCACACCACAGCUCAUGGCAACGCUGGAUCCUUAAUCCACUGAGCAAGGCCAGGGAUCCAACCCGCAACCUCAUGGUUCCUAGUCGGAUUCGUUAACCACUGAGCCAUGACAGGAACUCCAUGUCUCAGUCUCUUAAUCAAUAAAAUGGGGAUAAUAAUAGUACAUAAUUCAUACAGUUGUUAUGAGCAUUCAAUGAUGUCAUAUUUGUAAAAUGCUUAAAAGACUGCCUGGCAUAUCACAAUGAGUCCAUAGAGUGUGUUAAAUAAAACUAAUAUAUAUAAAAUAACCCCACAGCCAGGAAGUGUGGAGGAGGCCUGUGGCAAUAAUAUCCAGGUUAAAUUACUUGCUUGUUUGUUUUAAGUCCAAUCUGAGUUUCACUAGUUAAGGUCCAGUAGUUGAUAGUGAAUUAUUUUUUUUAAAUAACAAUAUUUAUAAUAUCACACCAAUAUUUUAAUGCUUUGCUUAAGUUAAUGAAUUGCCAUGUACACUUAAUAAUGGAAGAUACCAACUAUCUCUUUAUUGGAACAAUGUUAAAAAAAAGUGCCAUUUCCCACACCAGAUAAAAAUCAUAUAUUGUCUACUUUUUAAAUGGAGAGUGUAUAAAUAAAGUUGGUGAUCGAGAGGGUCAUAAAACUGUGAAUGAAGUUAGGAGACUGAACUACUGAAGUACAGAGCAGUGGUAAUGGGAUGUAGAUUGUAGAUUUGCUAGCAUGUGGAUUUCCCAGGCAGUUUUACCAGCCACACCAUCAACCCUUUUUAUGAUUAAAUGGAAUUGCAGAUCACUGGCAACAAGACCCUGGAUUCCAGCCAGCCCAGCAACACUGAAGCCACACUCCCUCCAGCUCCGCUCUGCAGGGUGAGAUGUUUGUGGAUGAUAAAUGGUAGCAGGACACUGAGGCAGGAGCCGAGUUAAGUGGAGCAAACUCAGACUUGGCAGGCAGAUGAAAUGUGCUAAGCACACACCAAACGUAACAUCAAGCCAUGUGGCAAAGCUGUGAGACACCAGGAAGCAGUAGAAAUUGCCACCAAGAUUACAUGUGACAGAGACUUUGGAGUAUUGGGAGCCUAUGAGGCAAGAAAACCACAGACCACACACAGCAAUAGGCUGGAGUGAAAGGUUCUGUGGAUCACUCAUCUUCCUGGGCCUCUUCCCUAUCUGGGGGCAGCAACAGUGUCAGCAGUUAUAAACAGGCUUAUGACAAUAAUCAAUGUAAUACAAGAUGAGCAUACAUAAUGAUGUGUUGAGUUCCUGUUGUGGUUUUCAAGUGCCAGUUUUCUGUUUGCUGUUUUAAUAAAAUUUACCUAAUGAGAGGAAACUGAUACAAUGCCAUUUUUCACAUUUUAUUAAUUUCCUUAUGUUCAAACAAAGUAAAUGCACUCCAACAAUUGGAUUUUCAUGAGGAAUAAAUGAGAUAAUAGCUGCUCCUGAGGCAUAUGGAGGUUCCCAGGCGAGGGGUCUAAUCGGAGCUGUAGCAAUGUGGGAUCCGAGUUGCAUCUGUGACCUACACCACAGCUCAUGGCAACGCUGGAACCUUAACCCACUGAGCAAAGCCAGGGAUUGAACCCGAAACCUCAUUGUUCCUAGUCGGAUUCAUUAACCACUGAGCCACAACAGGAACUCCUUAAAAUAGGUUUUUUAUAUAUUAGUCUUGUUUUUAUUAAUCCAUCCUCAGAAUCUGUCCUUUAAUUGGUCUGUUUAUAUUUAUUUAUUUAUUUAUUUAUUUAUUUAUUUAUUUAUUUAUUUAUUUUCCACGGCAUAUGGAAGUUCCUGGGCCAGAGAUCAAAUCAGAGCUGUGACUGUGAGCUAUGUCAUAUCCUUUAACCCACUGUGCUGGGCCAGGAUCGAACCUGCAUCUCUGCAGCAAUCCAAGUAGCUGCACUUGGAUUCUUAGCCCACUGGGCCACAGUGGCAACUCCUUAAUUGGUCUCUUCAGAUUAUUCAAAAUUAAAGAAAUGAUUGAUAUCAUGGAAUUAAUAUUUAUAUAGUUUGUACCUCUUUUCUCUUUGUUACAUUUGCUGUUUGUUUCUAUCUGGCCAUCUUCCUUUUUCAUGCCUUCUCAAGUUUCAAACAGCAUUUAAUAUGAUUCUAUUUUAUCACCUCUUUCAGUGUAUCAACUACACUUCUUUAAAGAAAAAUUUUUUUUCGUUGCAUUACAGUUUACAAUACACAUUUAAACUAAUGUCCACCUUCAAAUAAUAUUAUACCACUUCUCAUGUAGUACAGGUGAUUUAUAAUAGAUCUUCCAUUCCUACUUCUCAUCAUUUUUGACAUUGCUGUUGUACAUUUUAUUUAGCUGUACACUAUGACUACCCAACACAUUGUCCCUAUUAUUACUUUAAACAAUUACCCUUUAAUUAAAUUCAUUUUAAGAAAAAAAUUUAAAAAUUACUUUGCUUUCACUUAUUUCUUCUCUGAUGCUUUUUCCUUCAUGUAGAUCCUAAUAUCUGAUGUACAGCAUUUGCCUUCUGCCUGAAGAACUUCCUUUAACAUUU